Non-coding RNA from Nematostella vectensis (starlet sea anemone), 74 nucleotides. The record is from Rfam. Lineage: Eukaryota; Metazoa; Cnidaria; Anthozoa; Actiniaria; Edwardsiidae.
GUCUCUGUGGCGCAAUCGGUUAGCGCGUUCGGCUGUUAACCCAAAGUUUGGUGGUUAAAUCCCACCCAGGAACA